Molecule: long non-coding RNA, 1357 nt
Organism: Homo sapiens (human)
Lineage: Eukaryota; Metazoa; Chordata; Mammalia; Primates; Hominidae
Source: Ensembl
CACACAACACACACAACACAAUACACAACAUACACAACCACGCAAUACACACAAAACACACACAACACAACACAACAUACAUAACCACACCACACACAACACACAACCACACAACACUAUCACACAACACACACAAACACACACAACACACAACACACACAACACACACAAAACACAACACACACACAACAUACACAACCACACAACACACAACCACACAACAUACACGACCACACAACACAGUGCACACAAACAUAGCACACACAACACACAACCCAACACACAACCACACAAUACACCAUAUGGCGCGCACACACACACACACACACACACAGGCUGAGAGACAAGGUGGAGAUCCAGGGAGACCCCAGGGAGCAGUGCAGGUGUCCGUGGAUUCUGCUUUCAGUUAAACCCCUGAUCACUUCACCUCCCUGAGCCUCAGUUACCUUAUCUGAAUAUCGGGAUCAUGACGGAUAAUUGUAUGUCAUCUAUUCUACCGACGGCAGCCAGAGGACGCCUGUGAGCACCUGAGUCAGGGCCCAUCCCUGCUCUGCCUACAGCCCUCCAUGGCUCCCACCUUCCUAUGCGUCAAAGCCCAAGUCCUCCCUGCAGUCCACAAGGCCCUGCACACCUUGCCCUGUCCCUUCCCUGCCCUCCCCUCCUCCCUCUCUCCCCCUCGUUCACUCUUCUGGAGCCACACGGGCCAUCCUCCCUGUUCCUCCAACACCCAGGUGCAGUCCUGCCUUGGCGCCUUGGCACGGGCUGUGCCCUCUUCUCAAGAAAACCCUCUUCUUCCAAAUAUCCACACAGCUUGUUCUCUCUCCUCCUUUAAGUCUUUGCUCAAAUGUCACCAAUGUCUCAAUUUUACAAUGAGGUCUCUCUGAGUAACCUAUAAAGUCGCAAAUACCCACCCUGAGCGUCCCCCCUCCCCGCUACACACACUCCUCCUUCCUGCCAUGUCCUGCAAAUGAGAUUUAUUCAUUUGAUAAUUGCUUCUCCCAUCGCCUCGCCCUCUAUUGAACCUAAAUCCCUCCAGGAAGGAAUUGUUAUGUUUGUUGAGGGUUUUGUCACCUGAACUCAGCACAAUGCUGGUAUAUAGUUGGGUUUAAUAAAAAACUUACUGGAAGAAGCGAGAAGGAUGGGAGGAGAGAAGGGGAAGGAGGGUGUUCUCAUAGAAUUAUCAUGAGGAUGUGUUGAAAUCAUACAAGGCUAGGUGCAGUGGCUCACACUUGUAAUCCCAGCUGUUUGGGAGGCCAAGGCGGGAGGAUCGCUUGAGCCCAAGAGUCCAAGACCAGCCUGGGCAACACAGCCAGACCCUGUCUCUACAAAAAAGAAAAGUUAAAAACAAACAAAAAAA